UACGUAGGGUGCGAGCGUUGUCCGGAAUUACUGGGCGUAAAGAGCUCGUAGGUGGUUUGUCGCGUUGUUCGUGAAAACUCACAGCUCAACUGUGGGCGUGCGGGCGAUACGGGCAGACUGGAGUACUGCAGGGGAGACUGGAAUUCCUGGUGUAGCGGUGAAAUGCGCAGAUAUCAGGAGGAACACCGGUGGCGAAGGCGGGUCUCUGGGCCGAUACUGACGCUGAGGAGCGAAAGCAUGGGUAGCGAACAGG
This 253-nucleotide ribosomal RNA is filed under the name uncultured bacterium. RNAcentral's name for it is "partial 16S ribosomal RNA". It matches the Rfam family "Bacterial small subunit ribosomal RNA", at positions 524 to 776 of the family's 1533-position model. The record is from RNAcentral.